This 500-nucleotide ribosomal RNA is filed under the name Amamiku amamensis. RNAcentral's name for it is "partial 16S rRNA". It matches the Rfam family "Bacterial large subunit ribosomal RNA", at positions 1851 to 2597 of the family's 2925-position model. Lineage: Eukaryota; Metazoa; Arthropoda; Malacostraca; Decapoda; Potamidae. The record is from RNAcentral.
AAUUUGGCCUGCCCCCUGAUCGUAAGGUAUUAAAGGGCCGCAGUAUUAUAACUGUGCAAAGGUAGCAUAGUCAUUAGGUUUUUAAUUAGAAUCUUGUAUGAAUGGUUGGACAAAAGAAAGACUCUCUUUAUAUUAAUGUUGAAUUUAACUUUUAAGUGAGAAGGCUUAAAUAAACUAAGGGGACGAUAAGACCCUAUAAAACUUUAUAUUAUAAUUAUAUUUUAACGAAUUUGUAUUAAAUAAAGAUUUAGUUUAAUUAUUAUAUUGUGUUGGGGAGACAUAAGUAAAAUAUUAUUUUAACUGCUUGAAAUUUAUACAAUUAUUUGUGAGUAGUAAAAGAUCCUUUUUAAAGAUUAAUAGAUUAAGUUACUUUAGGGAUAACAGCGUAAUUUCUUUUGAGAGUUCUUAUCGAUAAAGAAGGUUGCGACCUCGAUGUUGAAUUAAAAAAUCUAUAUAAUGAAGAAGUUAUAUAAGAAGGUCUGUUCGACCUUUAAAAUUUU